UUUAAAUUGAGAGUUUGAUCCUGGCUCAGGAUGAACGCUGGCGGCGUGCCUAAUACAUGCAAGUCGUACGCUAGCCGCUGAAUUGAUCCUUCGGGUGAAGUGAGGCAAUGACUAGAGUGGCGAACUGGUGAGUAACACGUAAGAAACCUGCCCUUUAGUGGGGGAUAACAUUUGGAAACAGAUGCUAAUACCGCGUAACAACAAAUCACACAUGUGAUCUGUUUGAAAGGUCCUUUUGGAUCGCUAGAGGAUGGUCUUGCGGCGUAUUAGCUUGUUGGUAGGGUAGAAGCCUACCAAGGCAAUGAUGCGUAGCCGAGUUGAGAGACUGGCCGGCCACAUUGGGACUGAGACACUGCCCAAACUCCUACGGGAGGCUGCAGUAGGGAAUUUUCCGCAAUGCACGAAAGUGUGACGGAGCGACGCCGCGUGUGUGAUGAAGGCUUUCGGGUCGUAAAGCACUGUUGUAAGGGAAGAAUAACUGAAUUCAGAGAAAGUUUUCAGCUUGACGGUACCUUACCAGAAAGGGAUGGCUAAAUACGUGCCAGCAGCCGCGGUAAUACGUAUGUCCCGAGCGUUAUCCGGAUUUAUUGGGCGUAAAGCGAGCGCAGACGGUUUAUUAAGUCUGAUGUGAAAUCCCGAGGCCCAACCUCGGAACUGCAUUGGAAACUGAUUUACUUGAGUGCGAUAGAGGCAAGUGGAACUCCAUGUGUAG
Molecule: ribosomal RNA, 712 nt
Filed under: Oenococcus oeni
Lineage: Bacteria; Bacillati; Bacillota; Bacilli; Lactobacillales; Lactobacillaceae
Description: bacterial SSU rRNA
Rfam family: Bacterial small subunit ribosomal RNA
Source: RNAcentral